GGAUGUGAGGGCGAUCUGGCUAUGACAUCUGUUACCCCAUUGAUUGCCAGGGUUGAUUUGUUUGAUCUGGCUGGCUAGGCGGGUGUCCUCUUCCUGACUGCUCCAUGUGCGUCCCUCCCGAAGCUGUGUACUUGGUCGAAGAGGACAACCUUCCCCGAUAGAGGAGGACCAUUCUUCGGACAAGGGUAUAUGAGUAGCUGCGUUCCCCUGCUAGAACCUUCAAACAAGCUUUCAAAUUAACCUGCAAAAAGGAUGACAAUGCUCCUUUCAAUAGAAAAUACAGGGAGAGGGCCCU
Molecule: unclassified non-coding RNA, 295 nt
Organism: Otolemur garnettii (small-eared galago)
Lineage: Eukaryota; Metazoa; Chordata; Mammalia; Primates; Galagidae
Gene: 7SK
Rfam family: 7SK RNA
About the family: 7SK was discovered as an abundant small nuclear RNA in the mid-70s but a possible function has only recently been suggested. Two independent studies have found that 7SK RNA binds the CDK9/cyclin T complex (known as elongation factor P-TEFb). P-TEFb activates transcription by phosphorylating the C-terminal domain of RNA polymerase II.
Source: Ensembl